Molecule: ribosomal RNA, 384 nt
Filed under: uncultured fungus
Lineage: Eukaryota; Fungi
Description: bacterial SSU rRNA
Rfam family: Eukaryotic small subunit ribosomal RNA
Source: RNAcentral
AUGCUUGUCUCAAAGAUUAAGCCAUGCAUGUCUAAGUACGAGCCGCUAGACGGCGAAACCGCGAAUGGCUCAAUAAAUCAGUUAUGGUUCCCAAGAAUGAUUCAAUCCUACUCGGAUAACUGUGGUAAUUCUAGAGCUAAUACGCAACAAAAACUCCGACGCCGGGCUCUCGGGUCCUUGGCGAAAGAGUGCUUUUAUUAGAUCAAAACCAGUGGCCGGUGGCGGCUCUCGGGCCGCCGUCGGCAACAAUUUUUGGUGACUCUGGAUAACCUCAUGCUGAUCGCACGGCCUCCGCGCCGGCGAUAUUUCUUUCAAAUGUCUGCCUUAUCAACUGUCGAUGGUAGGUUAUGCGCCUACCAUGGUUGCAACGGGUAACGGGGAAUA